CAGGAAGCUCCCCCACGGAGGCUAUUUGAAUCUGCCUCCAUCUCUUUUCUUCUGGUUAAUUUCCUGGGUGGCCAACAUCUCGGAACAUUCAUGGCAGCUGCUCAUCUAUGUCUCAGUGGUCACCUGAUAUCUCACCUCAAAUCUGCAGGUACUUAAAAGGUGAUCUCUCUAGGCACUCACUGCCUGCCAAGUCGAAAGGCAGGAAGAGAAAAGGUAUCGAUCACCCGGAGUUUGGCUGCGUGGUUUUCAGAACACAUUCUUGGCCACACUACUGCUCUGUUUCACCCUCUUUCCUGUAGACUCAUUCUUUGCACCACACCCCUUAGCCCUGCAUGGCUACCGCUGAAGAAACUAAAGCUAAUGCUGUUUGCUUAAGAUCAUGUCGUUUGCUUGGUUCAUGUUUCUAAUCCUGGCACACUCGGGAGGCAGGGGCAGGUGUAUCUCCGUGAGUUCAAGGCCAGCCUGG
Molecule: long non-coding RNA, 466 nt
Filed under: Rattus norvegicus (Norway rat)
Lineage: Eukaryota; Metazoa; Chordata; Mammalia; Rodentia; Muridae
Description: long non-coding RNA NONRATT033505
Source: RNAcentral